AAAGUCACCACCCACUAUGACAUCCACAUAUUAAGAGAGACACUGAACCUGGCACAGGAUUGUUCUUGCUCUGAUUCUGUCCAACCGUGGUAGAAAUGUGCCAACCUUUGUUGGCAGAUAUGAGACCAGCCUUUGUCUCACCC
This 143-nucleotide long non-coding RNA is filed under the name Ictidomys tridecemlineatus (thirteen-lined ground squirrel). RNAcentral's name for it is "lncRNA (ENSSTOG00000034374.1)". The record is from RNAcentral. Lineage: Eukaryota; Metazoa; Chordata; Mammalia; Rodentia; Sciuridae.